RNAcentral lists this ribosomal RNA (253 nucleotides) under uncultured bacterium. RNAcentral's name for it is "partial 16S ribosomal RNA". It matches the Rfam family "Bacterial small subunit ribosomal RNA", at positions 524 to 776 of the family's 1533-position model. The record is from RNAcentral.
UACGAAGGGUGCAAACGUUGCUCGGAAUCAUUGGGCGUAAAGCGCACGUAGGCGGCCUUGCAAGUCGGAUGUGAAAGCCCACGGCUCAACCGUGGAAGUGCAUCCGAAACUGCAUGGCUCGAGUCUCGGAGAGGAAGGUGGAAUGCUUGGUGUAGAGGUGAAAUUCGUAGAUAUCAAGCAGAACACCUGCGGCGAAGGCGGCCUUCUGGACGAUGACUGACGCUGAGACGCGAAAGCGUGGGGAGCAAACAGG